Molecule: unclassified non-coding RNA, 310 nt
Filed under: fungal sp.
Lineage: Eukaryota; Fungi
Description: partial internal transcribed spacer region
Rfam family: Eukaryotic small subunit ribosomal RNA (bases 1-46)
Source: RNAcentral
AAGUCGUAACAAGGUUUCCGUAGGUGAACCUGCGGAAGGAUCAUUCAAGUAAAUGAUUAAAACUACACUUGUCAACCGGAGAAGAAACAAAUUGGGUUUAAAGAAUUUUAGAGAGAGUGGGGUUAAGGGAUGGGGGGAUGAGUAUUUUUGAAAAGAGUCCUUUUUAAAAGUAACCUGACGCUUGCUUUUUAAACCCAUUAACUUUAUAAAUCUUUAAACCCAACUAUUGACCAUGAAAUAUUGUAAAGAUUUGCUCGGUUAAAUAUUUAAAAAUUUAAUACAACCUUUAACAAUGGAUCUCUUGGUUCCU